ACGAACGCUGGUGGCGUGCUUAACACAUGCAAGUCGAACGGAAAGGCCCUGCUUUUGUGGGGUGCUCGAGUGGCGAACGGGUGAGUAACACGUGAGUAACCUGCCCUUGACUUUGGGAUAACUUCAGGAAACUGGGGCUAAUACCGGAUAGGAGCUCCUGCUGCAUGGUGGGGGUUGGAAAGUUUCGGCGGUUGGGGAUGGACUCGCGGCUUAUCAGCUUGUUGGUGGGGUAGUGGCUUACCAAGGCUUUGACGGGUAGCCGGCCUGAGAGGGUGACCGGCCACAUUGGGACUGAGAUACGGCCCAGACUCCUACGGGAGGCAGCAGUGGGGAAUAUUGCACAAUGGGCGGAAGCCUGAUGCAGCAACGCCGCGUGCGGGAUGACGGCCUUCGGGUUGUAAACCGCUUUCGCCUGUGACGAAGCGUGAGUGACGGUAAUGGGUAAAGAAGCACCGGCUAACUACGUG
This 467-nucleotide ribosomal RNA is filed under the name uncultured bacterium. Its description in RNAcentral is "partial 16S ribosomal RNA". It matches the Rfam family "Bacterial small subunit ribosomal RNA", at positions 29 to 507 of the family's 1533-position model. The record is from RNAcentral.